This 244-nucleotide unclassified non-coding RNA is filed under the name Hevea brasiliensis (rubber tree). Lineage: Eukaryota; Viridiplantae; Streptophyta; Magnoliopsida; Malpighiales; Euphorbiaceae. The record is from RNAcentral.
GUAACGACUGAGGAGGAGCAGCACCAACAAAAACCCCAUCAUGUUCUUUUUGAAUUCUACGAGCUUCCAAAUCCCCUUGCCAAUAACAAUCCCCAUUCGUUGUUUCAGGAACCAGAUUCUGUAAUCCAACAUCUUCCCCACCGGCACCAACAUCGCGGUUAUCAUCACCUUCAUCAUCGUCGCCGCCUUCGAAAUCCCUCUUAAGCAGCUCAACCAACUGCUUGUAAAUCACUUGCUUAUGCUU